Molecule: ribosomal RNA, 200 nt
Filed under: uncultured bacterium
Lineage: Bacteria
Description: partial 16S ribosomal RNA
Rfam family: Bacterial small subunit ribosomal RNA
Source: RNAcentral
ACGCUCGACACCUACGGGAGGCAGCAGUGGGGAAUAUUGGGCAAUGGGCGCAAGCCUGACCCAGCAACGCCGCGUGAAGGAAGAAGGCUUUCGGGUUGUAAACUUCUUUUAUUAAGGACGAAGCAAUGACGGUACUUAAUGAAUAAGCUCCGGCUAACUACGUGCUAGCAGCCGCGGUAAUCUGAGCGGGCUGGCAAGGC